This is a non-coding RNA of Pelobates cultripes (western spadefoot toad), 317 nucleotides long. The record is from the annotation of a GenBank genome assembly. NCBI's taxonomy places the organism in Eukaryota, Metazoa, Chordata, Amphibia, Anura, Pelobatidae.
GUCCCUUACAGCAUGCUGUUCCUGUCCCUAAGCUGAUGUGACGUUUGCAUUCAGUUGCCCCGUUUGUUAAGUCACAUUAUGCGAACUUCAGUGUGGACUCGCAGGUCCACGUAGGGUGGGACAUGAGCAGCCUUUGGAAAGGAAUGACGGUCUGCAAGACCAGCACUGGUGACGUGCCGGUCACCAUGUAGCGGGUGUUAUAGUCGGGUGUCGGGCCCGUGAGUCUCGUUGCAGUAAGGCGGUCAGGUAUUACCUCUAGUAAACGCUAGGGUGUCAGGGUGGGUCCGCUGGCCCCUCUGAGCCCAGCGUUAAGUCCC